UGUGCUACUGGUAGGUUAGGACGGAGCCAGUUUCACACUGUGUGGGUUUGCCGUGGUACUUAGAGUGACCUGGGAGAUAUUGACUGCAACUCUUUGCAGUACACACACACACACACAUAUAUGCAUAUAAUAUCUAAACACCUGGCUGUAAACUCUUAAGUAUUUAAAUUUGGAAACACAGCUGCAAGGAGGGGAAACUACUCCUUCAAGUGGAUCCCAAAAGCUUGCAGAAGACAAAAAUGGCUGCAAGUUGGACUGCUAAAAGCUGAAACCUUGGCCAUAAAGACUUCAUCGCUAUCGCUGAAAACACAGCCAGCCAUAGCAACCAGCUUUGGUGAGCACAGAGACUUCAUCCCUUACCCUCAGGCAUGUCCCCCUGUGGUUUCUACCAGAACAGAGAGAUUUCCUAGGACAGGAAAACAACCGUCAAGCAAAAAAACAUUCCCUGCCAUCCCAGGCCUCAGUUCCUUCUGGUGGUUGUUGGUUCAUAACAGCUUCUCUUUCCUCCUGACUAUCAGCCCAGGUUUUGCUGCAGAUGGAGGUGUUAAAUCCCUAAUACAACAGCUGAUCACAGAGCCAAAAUGCAGGGACAAAUUAUUUUAAACUUUUCCCCACUGCCAUUUCUCCAGAACCAUUUGGAUCUUGUUUGGUAAGUCACCUUUGCUGGACCAACGCUACCAAGUGUUACUUUAUCAGCCCAGCGCUUCCUCAGCUGUACGCUGGUUUGCACUGAAGGCUGUUCUGGUUCUUACCUGGGUUUAAAAAUCCGUAUUGCACAUCUCCCCAAAGCUCACUUUUGCUCUGGAGCUAUUUGCAAAGCCCAAAGUAUCAACGCUUUCCCAGGGGGUCUGGCCAAGUUUCACAGCCGCCUGUGCGGAUGCCCCUGCUCCUGAAUCGCACAGAGCUGGGGCCGUCUCAGCGCCCGUGAGUUCAGGUUUUGUGUAUUUGGAAGUUGUGAAGUUUUGCAGAUCCCCCAUUCGACACAGACCGGGUUUUUGGGGAGUGGUUUCUGCAGGUGAUAGCACAGGUUAGCCCCACCGUCCUGCGGUGAGGUUGGUGAAGCAACCCACGAGAGCUCAGAAGCUUUAUGGCUCCUGGUGCCUUUCCAAAGCAGGUGAUGGACUAGCUAAGUAGAGCUUCAAAAUCCUUCUUGAACACAGUUCUCAGGCAGGUGAAAUUAGGUAUUUCUCAGAGUGUCUGGUCCCCAAAUUUAUUUUUCUGUCAAGAGCUCAUACUUUUCUUGUGGUAGUUCAGUUUUUAAUGCCAACUGUCUGCCAAGCUUUCUCUGAACCGAAGCCCUCAAGUCAUUCAACGUGGUCCACAAGGCUUUAGUGCUUUACUGAGCAUUAGUCAAGACCAGCGGCAUUGCGUAAUUUCCUGGAACCAAAGCUUUUCUUGAACCUUUAUCUGAGAGCAAAAGGCACUCAGAAGCCUCCUGGGUUGAUGAUGGAUGGAAGGGAGAAACAAAUAUCCCAAAGCCAAGAGCUCAGAUCAGGAUCUCGGCAAACUUACGCUGCAGCCAGCACGAGCGAGGAGCGGGCAGGAUGCUCCCCGUGCUCACAUGAAGGUCUGCGCAUUCAAGGGCAUCCAGGGAUGGCUUUAACAGAGCAGCCCCACUGGCAAUGGCUUCUUCAUUUACACAUAUUUCCUUUAAGGUUUUUUUGCUAUUUUUAGAAUUAAUUCAGUGCUCGCCAGCUGCCUUUGAUUCCACAAGAGAAGCUGAAUGAACACUAUUUUCCACUCCCAUUGUCUCUCCUUGCUAAAUACUAUUGCUGUUCUCAUACUUUUAUGACCGUGGGGUCGGCACUCUACACACCACCACUCAUGGCCCUACUAUUAUACUUUUGGCAGGAACAUGUUAGGUUUUUAUGGGAAUUAAAAAGCAUGAGUGAGAGAGAGAACCUGAACCAAAGACAACAUAAAGGGCCUUAUUUCUUUGGGUAGAAGCCCAACAAAAUUAUUAAAUCGCUCAAAGCAGAACAGAAAGCAGCUCUCUCCAAGAUGCUAAGCUGAGAGACACCACGCUCCAGCGGUUACUUAGUGACCCAUGGAGAAAGGAAAAUAUUCCAAGAGGAGGUUGCUGUAAAAGGGGGAUGGCUGCUGUUGACACUGCUGGUUGCACUAGGACAGUAAGUUGGAGUCCCGGUUGGAGAGUGUUUGUCCAAGACCAGCUGUGUUCACGGCUUUUUCCUCCUGCCCCUGUGUAACAUGCUCAUCCUCUUCACUCCUGUAGCUUUCCUGUGCUCUAUUGCCUAAGAGAAAACCACCACUGGUUGAGAAUGAAUGGCAUCAUCACCGGGAGCUGGACCCAGGGCAUCUGCUCCAGGGUGGCCCCAGCUCCAUCUUCAGGCAUCAGAGCAGAAGGUCCCACCAGCAGCCUGGGGACACUCGGUUCUUCCUCCCGGGCUGUGGAAGGAGAUGUCAGAACCCCAAAAGAUCAGAAAUAGCUUUCUGAAGAAAAAAAAAAAAGGACUUAAAAAGUGAGUUAAACCUGAAUGUUAACUUUAACUAGGUCCUACUGACCUUUGGUGGCUGGAGCACUGCAGCGUGCGUGCUCCUUCCAGCAGCGAGGGGAGAUGAGCCCUGCGCGGGACCGGAAUAGCUGUGAAAUUCUGAGAAGUUUGGGUUUGGUUCCAAACUUUAUCACCGACCGCUGCCGUGGCCAAACCAGUGGCUUUGAUGUGAAAUCCCAAACUCUGCAGGCAUCUGAGUCUGAACACUGAGGGCCGGUUACGCUGCCAAUAACAAGCAAACUCUGUGUGAGCUCCAAAAUAGCAGUGCACGCUGGGGGCCAUGGAAAAGGAGCGAGGUCCUUUUCCCUUCCCAUUUUAAAAUUAUUGCAGACUUCACUCAAUAGUACACUCAAUAGUGUUCUUCCCUUUGCUUGCAUUACAAAGGCGGCCUUGAUGAGAAUUUUGGCAACUUGGGGGAUUGCUAAUGGCCCAAAAGUUUUUUGCAUGUCUGGAUUGCCAGGUCACACUCAGACCGGGCUGUUUGUGGCUUCAAGGGUAUUCUUGUGGCUCUCUUGUGGCUCCUGUGACACAAAUUUAGUGGCCAGCUAAGACUAACCUCCCAGCAGUACAGUGAGCGCCCCACGUUUUCGGUAGCAGCCUCAGCAGAGGAGCCAAGUGGAGAAGAGCCACGCUGGGUCCCAUGGGGCUCCCAGCAGAGCUGGGCACCAUCUGGGCAUGUCCCUCUGCCUGGAGGACUGUCCCUGCCGUGGUCCCUGCUCCCCAGGGGAACUAAUUCCACGCCUUCUCUGGCCAGCCCUCUGUACACAUGCAGUAGCUGCAGACCACAAGGAUGGGAAGUUGUUGCUUCUCACCUGGGAGAUGAGCAUCUUCCACAACCAUCCACAAACCUUCACCCACCAGUUAAACUUGUUAGUAGCUUAAUGAGCCAUCUCAUCAGAGGCUACCUAGACCAAGAGCGGUGAGGAACUGGGGGGGAGAAAAAGUCCCUUGCCCUGUUGCUAAAAUUUUUCUGCCUGUUUUUCUCUCAUGCCCAUUUCUCCAACACGUCCUUUCUGCUCCUUUUUCUUUUGACUCCUCCUGACUUGCUUGAACAGAUCCGUUUUCCUGAGAUGGAUUGCAGGAAUUUUGCAUGUUCAGGUUGCACCAGACGCUGGUGGAGCCCAGCACGGUGUCUGCAGCUGAGCACGCUGGAUCGUCAGCACAGCCUCCUCCCAACUCUGACGCCCAGACGGUGCCUCUGUCCCACGGUUUGUCCCUGAGGCUGUCAGGUGACCAGUUAAGGACUGGAAAGAAAUGCUGUGGAUGGCCUCUGUUAAGCACUCCUUCAGAACAAGUGUGGAUGCGUUGAUGAAAAGUGCAGUUAAUCCCAGUUGUCAUCUAUCUGAUCAGAUAAAGAUCAUCCAGCAAACUCCAAGUGGGCGAGAAGCCAACUAAACCCAGGAGUCCUCUAAGGUUUUGUCAGACUUCAGUUAAUGAGACCAGUGUCUCCUGAAUCGGGCUCUGGGCGUGUGACUCAGCUGUGACCAGUCCGUGUUGCCUCCUGAUGGGCUCCUUUCCCGUUCCCACCUUUGACUGCAGCCACCUGCAGAGAGCAGGCGCUUCCCAGGCAGUUCAGACACGACAGAUGGGAACGGGAAGCACUUACAACAGAGCAGAGAGGGCCGCGGGGAUGUGUGUGUGUCCUGGGGGCAGAACUGCAGGGGUGAGGACCUCCCUGAGCCUGCCAACAGCCAGACGUCUUGCUUUAAAGUCAUGCGUGACUUUGUGUGGCUUUGAGGCUGGGACACCCCAGCUUCUUCUUUAAGCUGGGACAUCUACUGCAACAUCUCAGCAAACUGGUGGUAUCCGUGGGGAGACAGGAAAACAAGGUGAUGAUCCGCUUUCUAAUUAUCUUCCAGCCUCUCCCACCUCCCCACCCACGCCCUUUUGCAAUCUGGUGAUUAAUUUAAUUACGGUUCCAGAUCCAGGAGCUGAUCCAGCCGGAGAGCAGGAGCUUUGCCAGGAGGGUCUUGCCCCAUGUGUCCUGUCCAGGUUCAGACCAAGACCAUGGACGUGUACAUGAGCAACGCUGGCUGCAGAAGCAAAUCCCAUUGCCUCAUGUGAGGGAUUGAAGCGCUAGCUCCUGGAGCAAGCCAGAUGCGUGGGAACUGCCGCAUGGAAAGAACACACUGGACAAGAAGUUGCAAAAGCUCAGUCUCUCCAGCAAAGGAUGGGGUAGAAGAUGUGUUACACCCAGAGCAUCCAACACCUCUGGGUGUUGCAGUGGGAGAUAAUGCAAUUGCCUGGUUAUUGGGAGGAGCCCGGGGGUGGCUGCUGCUCCCCUGCCCCGUCCCUGGCUCCCUCCUUCCCUCCCCAGGAGAGCUCGGCUUUAUUUUAAGACACCGUUCAGGGGUGAGGCCGGUCCAGCGCAGGCGAUGCUUUCAUUGCAGCACGCUCUGCGCUGGAGCUGCGGCUCUUCCCUGGGGACCGGGGUUGGAGCAAGGACCGUGGGCCCAGGGUUGGGCUGCCAGGGCCGUGGCCGUCACCGCUGUGCCCGUGCUGGCUCGGGUGACAGCCGGGAGCAGCCUGUGACCCAGGGCACCCAGUGCUCGCCCCCUCAUCCCAGGGGAUUUGUGGUGGGCACCUCUAGCUCUGCUGCCCCAGUAGCACUGCAACAGGCAUCCUAAUUACAAAAGGCAAUUAGUGGAGUGACACCGAGGGCUUCCCCUUCCCUCCAGGAGGCAGCAUGCACUCCCUGCCUUUUACAAGUGCCCUUUUCCCCCUCGCAGGCUCACGCUGAGACCAACAUAAAGCAUCAUCCCUUCCCCUGUGCUUUGCUGCAGCGCUGCUUCCCGGCACCUUGCUCCUGCGGACCGAGAUGCGCAAGCACGGAGCAGCCACUAACAUGUGCCACGAGUUACUCAGUCCUCAUGGUCUCAUCUCUGGCACCCGAGGAGGAUGGCUGUGGGCCACCGAGGCUGCUGAGGACUCAGAGAUGAUGAUCCAGGAAAACCACCCAGCGCCAUCCAGCCCUGCAAGUCUGGCAAACUGAGGCAAAUAUUUGCAGACCAAAAAAAAAGACCCAAGGGGCAGAGCCAGGAGUGACCAGUGCCACACAAAACUGCGGCUCGCGCAAACAAGAGCUGGCUGAGCGACGGGUGGAAGCAUUUGCGGUUUGGUUGGGUUCCUGCGCUAAUUAAGGGCCACAUCCAGCUAGGAGCCACCUAGGAGCUGGUGAAAACUGCACCCAGCUGCAAGGAGGCUCGUUUCUGCAGGAAAAGGGCAGUAGUGCUUCCAAAACAAC
This is a long non-coding RNA of Chroicocephalus ridibundus (black-headed gull), 5757 nucleotides long. RefSeq lists it as uncharacterized. Lineage: Eukaryota; Metazoa; Chordata; Aves; Charadriiformes; Laridae. The transcript is spliced from 6 exons. The record is from RefSeq and is a predicted model, not a curated record.